This 252-nucleotide ribosomal RNA is filed under the name uncultured bacterium. Its description in RNAcentral is "partial 16S ribosomal RNA". It matches the Rfam family "Bacterial small subunit ribosomal RNA", at positions 524 to 776 of the family's 1533-position model. The record is from RNAcentral.
CACGUAGGGUGCGAGCGUUGUCCGGAAUUAUUGGGCGUAAAGAGCUCGUAGGCGGUGUGUCGCGUCGGCCGUGAAAACCUGCAGCUUAACUGUGGCUUGCGGUCGAUACGGGCAGACUUGAGUACUGCAGGGGAGACUGGAAUUCCUGGUGUAGCGGUAGAAUGCGCAGAUAUCAGGAGGAACACCGGUGGCGAAGGCGGGUCUCUGGGCCGAUACUGACGCUGAGGAGCGAAAGCGUGGGGAGCGAACAGG